UACCUGUUUGAAGGAUAGGUCACACUGCUUUAGACAGCCAGACAGAAGGGUACAGUUUUUUUUCUGACCGAUAGCCGACCCUCGUUAACCGAUCAUUAACCGUUAAACGACAAGCAGUCAAUGGAGUCCCAGUUCACCCGUCCUGGUGGCUCGGACAUACUUUCCGCAUUCCGUGGACAGAUGAUUAGGACUUGUAGCGGUUGCUCUGCCAUGUUGUUCCGUGCAUUGUCGUGGGCACAUGCAGCCACUUUCCUGGAACAAGAACAGCUGCACAGCUGACAGAAGUCCACAGCGGUCGGCGGCGUGAGCCUGUCUCCACCACAUCCACAAGGUUGUCAGCUGACGGCCGAUUUAACCCGCUAGUCCACAUCGGUAAAAUGGCAUGUGUCAAGUAGCUCUUCGCUGUGAGUGCCAUCCAGCAGAGAGCCACGAGCAGAAAAAAAGAGCAGCU
Molecule: long non-coding RNA, 451 nt
Organism: Sander lucioperca (pikeperch)
Lineage: Eukaryota; Metazoa; Chordata; Actinopteri; Perciformes; Percidae
Exons: 2
Source: RefSeq, a predicted model, not a curated record